GGCGGACGGGUGAGUAAUGCCUGGGAAUAUGCCCUGAUGUGGGGGAUAACUAUUGGAAACGAUAGCUAAUACCGCAUAAUCUCUUCGGAGCAAAGAGGGGGACCUUCGGGCCUCUCGCGUCAGGAUUAGCCCAGGUGGGAUUAGCUAGUUGGUGGGGUAACGGCUCACCAAGGCGACGAUCCCUAGCUGGUCUGAGAGGAUGAUCAGCCACACUGGAACUGAGACACGGUCCAGACUCCUACGGGAGGCAGCAGUGGGGAAUAUUGCACAAUGGGGGAAACCCUGAUGCAGCCAUGCCGCGUGUAUGAAGAAGGCCUUCGGGUUGUAAAGUACUUUCAGCAGUGAGGAAGGGGUG
Molecule: ribosomal RNA, 355 nt
Filed under: Photobacterium sp. MA-17
Lineage: Bacteria; Pseudomonadati; Pseudomonadota; Gammaproteobacteria; Vibrionales; Vibrionaceae
Description: bacterial SSU rRNA
Rfam family: Bacterial small subunit ribosomal RNA
Source: RNAcentral